RNAcentral lists this ribosomal RNA (298 nucleotides) under Picochlorum sp. RCC944. RNAcentral's name for it is "partial Bacterial small subunit ribosomal RNA". It matches the Rfam family "Bacterial small subunit ribosomal RNA", at positions 51 to 354 of the family's 1533-position model. The record is from RNAcentral. Lineage: Eukaryota; Viridiplantae; Chlorophyta; Trebouxiophyceae.
AUACAUGCAAGUCGAACGAGAAAGCACUUCGGUGCGAGUACAGUGGCGGACGGGUGAGUAACGCGUAGGAAUCUACCUAGUAGUGGGGGACAACUCGAGGAAACUCGAGCUAAUACCGCAUACGCUCUAUGGAGGAAAGUGGGGGAUCUUCGGACCUCACGCUAUUAGAGGAGCCUGCGUUAGAUUAGCUAGUUGGUGAGGUAAAGGCUCACCAAGGCUACGAUCUAUAGCUGGUCUGAGAGGACGAUCAGCCACACUGGAACUGAGACACGGUCCAGACUCCUACGGGAGGCAGCAG